Molecule: ribosomal RNA, 472 nt
Filed under: Panthera pardus (leopard)
Lineage: Eukaryota; Metazoa; Chordata; Mammalia; Carnivora; Felidae
Description: partial 16S ribosomal RNA
Rfam family: Bacterial large subunit ribosomal RNA
Source: RNAcentral
GUUCCCUAAAUAGGGACUUGUAUGAAGGGCCACACGAGGGCUUUACUGUCUCUUACUUCCGAUCCGUGAAAUUGACCUUCCCGUGAAGAGGCGGGAAUAUGACAAUAAGACGAGAAGACCCUAUGGAGCUUUAAUUAACCGACCCAAAGAGAUCUUAACAACUAACCGAUAGGGACAACAAACCUCUACCAUGGGUCGACAAUUUAGGUUGGGGUGACCUCGGAGAAUAAAACAACCUCCGAGUGAUUUAAAUCUAGACUAACCAGUCGAAAGUACUACAUCACUUAUUGAUCCAAAAACUUGAUCAACGGAACAAGUUACCCUAGGGAUAACAGCGCAAUCCUAUUUUAGAGUCCAUAUCGACAAUAGGGUUUACGACCUCGAUGUUGGAUCAGGACAUCCCGAUGGUGCAGCAGCUAUCAAAGGUUCGUUUGUUCAACGAUUAAAGUCCUACGUGAUCUGAGUUCAGACC